RNAcentral lists this ribosomal RNA (588 nucleotides) under uncultured bacterium. RNAcentral's name for it is "partial 16S ribosomal RNA". It matches the Rfam family "Bacterial small subunit ribosomal RNA", at positions 355 to 1376 of the family's 1533-position model. The record is from RNAcentral.
UGGGGAAUUUUGGACAAUGGGCGAAAGCCUGAUCCAGCAAUGCCGCGUGUGUGAAGAAGGCCUUCGGGUUGUAAAGCACUUUUGUCCGGAAAGAAAUGGCUCUGGUUAAUACCUGGGGUCGAUGACGGUACCGGAAGAAUAAGGACCGGCUAACUACGUGCCAGCAGCCGCGGUAAUACGUAGGGUCCAAGCGUUAAUCGGAAUUACUGGGCGUAAAGCGUGCGCAGGCGGUUGUGCAAGACCGAUGUGAAAUCCCCGAGCUUAACUUGGGAAUUGCAUUGGUGACUGCACGGCUAGAGUGUGUCAGAGGGGGGUAGAAUUCCACGUGUAGCAGUGAAAUGCGUAGAGAUGUGGAGGAAUACCGAUGGCGAAGGCAGCCCCCUGGGAUAACACUGACGCUCAUGCACGAAAGCGUGGGGAGCAAACAGGAUUAGAUACCCUGGUAGUCCACGCCCUAAACGAUGUCAACUAGUUGUUGGGGAUUCAUUUUCCUUAGUAACGUAGCUAACGCGUGAAGUUGACCGCCUGGGGAGUACGGUCGCAAGAUUAAAAGCUUAAAUGAAUUGACGGGGUCAUAGCUGUUUCCUG